Limulus polyphemus (Atlantic horseshoe crab) is the source of this 1155-nucleotide long non-coding RNA. RefSeq lists it as uncharacterized. The record is from RefSeq and is a predicted model, not a curated record. Lineage: Eukaryota; Metazoa; Arthropoda; Merostomata; Xiphosura; Limulidae. The transcript is spliced from 4 exons.
UGCAUUCUUGUUUACAAGUGGUACUGCUAGUAGGUUUAAGUUAUGACUACAGAAAAACAAACGAAAGUUCCAUACUGCAUUGCAGUUGGUUUCAGCAAUCGUUAUAAAAAAGAGAAGCGACUAGACACGUUUCCUCCUGACAAAUAAAGAAAAUACUAUAGAACAUUAAAGUUAAACGAAAGAUCUGGUUGGCAACGAAGCAUUUAUUAGUUAUGUGAGAGACAUUUUGAAGAUCAAUUCAUAAAGACAUUAGCAAGAUGGAAAAACAGACUAGAGCCAAAUGCUGUACCAACAAUAUUUUCACUAAUGACAGUUAAACCAAAGAGAAAUUCAAGAAAAAAGAAAACUGCCAAAUACUGAUACAUUUCAGACCUGGCUUGAAUUUUGAAGUGAAGAGUAAUGGAAAAUGACCAUUACUAUGUAACACUGUUUUGUUUCAGGUAUUAUACUAGUAGCCCUUCUCUGAACCUUUCUAACAAUGCAGUGUCCUUCAUAAGGAUUUUCCUACAGUCACCAUUUUUGGAUCAGGAUGCAUGAUAUCAAGUAUUUUUAUUUUUUAAGGAAACAAAGUAAGUUAAUUAUUGCUUUUCCUUGAUUAAAGAAUAGUUGUUCAUUAAUGUAUGUAUAAGUAUUUUGGGCCUCAAUCUUUUGAGGCACUAUGUAAUGGCUGUUAUUGAUUUUUUUUUCACUAGUAAAUUCAAGAUUUUUACUAGCAACAACAUUCUUCUUCUAAAAUUAGCUGUAACAUAAUUAUUUGAUGUAUUAAGUGUUAAUAAAUAGUAAGUGUAUGUAUGCCAAAUGUGUGUGUGUGUAUAUAUAUAAUUUAUGUCAUGUUUUCUUUUCAAAUAUCAAAACUAAUUUUAAUUACAUAGAAAAGUAUUUCUAUUGUAACUAUUUCACAAAAGCUAAAAGAUGAUUUAAUUGGGCAGAAACUAGAACAUCUCCACCACAAGCUCCUGAAUUGACAAAGUUUACAGUACCUCACUGCUGAUGGUUACCCUGUACUAAAAACAGUAUUUUAUUAUUACAAAUUACUGUUUAAAGCUGAAAGAUGGCAAAACAUUAAAACCAAUGGGUAUAAACAUUUUUGUUACUUGUAAAAAUUAAGAGAAAUAUGGAAACAACAUCUGCAGUUUAUGUGAUUUCUAUUUUAUU